Molecule: signal recognition particle RNA, 263 nt
Filed under: Chloroflexota bacterium
Lineage: Bacteria; Bacillati; Chloroflexota
Description: Chloroflexi bacterium signal recognition particle sRNA large type
Rfam family: Bacterial large signal recognition particle RNA
About the family: The signal recognition particle (SRP) is a universally conserved ribonucleoprotein involved in the co-translational targeting of proteins to membranes. Archaeal SRP consists of a 7S RNA and homologues of the eukaryotic SRP19 and SRP54 proteins.
Source: RNAcentral
UCGUGCUAGACGGGGAGCUAGCGGUGCCCUGUACCCGCAAUCCGCUACAGCGGGGUUGAACUCCUGCCCAAGGUUGGACCUUGUGGGACUGCUAUUGCUAAGCGACGUCGAAGAUCGGGUCUUGCGCGGCGGAAACCUAUGAACCCCGUCAGGGUCGGAAGACAGCAGCGGUAAGUGGGCGAUUCCGGGUGCCGCAGGUUUACCUGGUCGGAGUUGGCUGGCGAAAGCAAGCCGGAAGAUCCACAUCGACGGUGGGUGCACGA